This 483-nucleotide ribosomal RNA is filed under the name uncultured bacterium. RNAcentral describes it as "partial 16S ribosomal RNA". It matches the Rfam family "Bacterial small subunit ribosomal RNA", at positions 28 to 507 of the family's 1533-position model. The record is from RNAcentral.
GACGAACGCUGGCGGCGUGCUUAACACAUGCAAGUCGAACGCUGAAGCUCAGCUUUUGUUGGGUGGAUGAGUGGCGAACGGGUGAGUAACACGUGAGUAACCUGCCUCCUUCUUUGGGAUAACGCCCGGAAACGGGUGCUAAUACUGGAUAUUCACUGGUCUUCGCAUGGGGGUUGGUGGAAAGGGUUUUUCUGGUGGGGGAUGGGCUCGCGGCCUAUCAGCUUGUUGGUGGGGUGAUGGCCUACCAAGGCUUUGACGGGUAGCCGGCCUGAGAGGGUGACCGGUCACAUUGGGACUGAGAUACGGCCCAGACUCCUACGGGAGGCAGCAGUGGGGAAUAUUGCACAAUGGGCGCAAGCCUGAUGCAGCGACGCCGCGUGAGGGAUGGAGGCCUUCGGGUUGUGAACCUCUUUCGCUCAUGGUCAAGCCGCAACAAUGGUUGUAGUGAGGGUAGUGGGUAAAGAAGCGCCGGCUAACUACGUG